Molecule: long non-coding RNA, 437 nt
Organism: Symphalangus syndactylus (siamang)
Lineage: Eukaryota; Metazoa; Chordata; Mammalia; Primates; Hylobatidae
Source: RefSeq, a predicted model, not a curated record
AUAUGUAAGCUGUUUAUUGCAUCAGUAAUCUUCAAACAAAAUGAAUGUAAUCUAAACAGAGCAACAGAGGCUUGUGAAAAAACUAGAAAGAAAACAGCCACAUGACAAGAGAAGAAGGAAUGGAAGAAGGCUCCAGGAGGUGUUGAAUUUGUUUGAGUUCUUUCUCCUAGAAGACAGAAGCAGGUGCAAUAGAACACAAAUAUAAAAAGGGAAGCCAAGGUUCCUGCCUGGGUCGUAAAAAAUAUUGGAUACAAAAGAUUUUAGAAGAAGAAGGAGAAGACAAAGUCAGGGGCAGGACACCAGAACCAUCAGAAAGACCAAAAGAUGGAGAGUUACGUGAAGAGCUUCCAGAAAAUAGGACAUAUACAAGUGCUGGUAUUCCAGUCUUACACACAGAUGCAUAGAUAAAUAAAUAAUAGCACACAUUUGCUAAUAAA